This 253-nucleotide ribosomal RNA is filed under the name uncultured bacterium. RNAcentral's name for it is "partial 16S ribosomal RNA". It matches the Rfam family "Bacterial small subunit ribosomal RNA", at positions 524 to 776 of the family's 1533-position model. The record is from RNAcentral.
UACGUAGGGCGCAAGCGUUGUCCGGAAUUAUUGGGCGUAAAGAGCUCGUAGGCGGUUUGUCGCGUCUGCUGUGAAAACCUAAGGCUCAACCUUGGGCUUGCAGUGGGUACGGGCAGACUAGAGUGCGGUAGGGGUGACUGGAAUUCCUGGUGUAGCGGUGGAGUGCGCAGAUAUCAGGAGGAACACCGAUGGCGAAGGCAGGUCACUGGGCCGCAACUGACGCUGAGGAGCGAAAGCAUGGGGAGCGAACAGG